This 301-nucleotide ribosomal RNA is filed under the name uncultured bacterium. Its description in RNAcentral is "partial 16S ribosomal RNA". It matches the Rfam family "Bacterial small subunit ribosomal RNA", at positions 509 to 807 of the family's 1533-position model. The record is from RNAcentral.
CAGUCGCCGCGGGAAUACCGAGGGUGCAAGCGUUAAUCGGAAUUACUGGGCGUAAAGCGCGCGUAGGUGGUUUGUUAAGUUGGAUGUGAAAGCCCCGGGCUCAACCUGGGAACUGCAUCCAAAACUGGCAAGCUAGAGUACGGUAGAGGGUGGUGGAAUUUCCUGUGUAGCGGUGAAAUGCGUAGAUAUAGGAAGGAACACCAGUGGCGAAGGCGACCACCUGGACUGAUACUGACACUGAGGUGCGAAAGCGUGGGGAGCAAACAGGAUUAGAUACCCGAGUAGUCCCUGUCUCUUAUAC